This 373-nucleotide ribosomal RNA is filed under the name uncultured organism. RNAcentral's name for it is "partial 16S ribosomal RNA". It matches the Rfam family "Bacterial small subunit ribosomal RNA", at positions 527 to 896 of the family's 1533-position model. The record is from RNAcentral.
GUACUGUGCAAACGUUGGUUCGGGAAUCACUGGGCUUAAAGGGUGCGUAGGCGGCUGUUCAAGUCGGGUGUGAAAUCCCUCGGGCUCAACCGAGGGAACUGCGCCCGAAACUGAAUGGCUUGAGUGAGAUAGGGGUGUGCGGAACUUCCAGAGGAGCGGUGAAAUGUGUUGAUAUUGGAAGGAACACCGGUGGCGAAAGCGGCACACUGGGUCUCAACUGACGCUGAGGCACGAAAGCCAGGGGAGCGAACGGGAUUAGAUACCCCGGUAGUCCUGGCUGUAAACGAUGAGCACUAGACGGGAGGAGCUUCGGCUCAUCCGGUCGCAGCGAAAGCGAUAAGUGCUCCGCCUGGGGAGUAUGGUCGCAAGGCUG